UACGUAGGGUCCGAGCGUUGUCCGGAGUUACUGGGCGUAAAGCGCGCGCAGGCGGCGGUGCUGGCCCGGCGUGAAAGCCCCCGGCUCAACCGGGGAGGGUCGUCGGGGACCGCACCGCUUGAGGGCGGUAGGGGCUGGUGGAAUGCCUGGUGUAGUGGUGAAAUGCGUAGAGAUCAGGCGGAACACCCGUGGCGAAGGCGGCCAGCUGGGCCGUCCCUGACGCUGAGGCGCGAAGGCGUGGGGAGUGAACGGG
Molecule: ribosomal RNA, 253 nt
Filed under: uncultured bacterium
Lineage: Bacteria
Description: partial 16S ribosomal RNA
Rfam family: Bacterial small subunit ribosomal RNA
Source: RNAcentral